Seriola aureovittata is the source of this 388-nucleotide long non-coding RNA. RefSeq lists it as uncharacterized. NCBI's taxonomy places the organism in Eukaryota, Metazoa, Chordata, Actinopteri, Carangiformes, Carangidae. The transcript is spliced from 3 exons. The record is from RefSeq and is a predicted model, not a curated record.
GCUUCUCUUCAGCAUGACGUGCUGCGAUGGAGCUGCUGCUGAGCGUGUCAACUUACAGUGUGUGUGUGUCUUCUGCGACUGUCUCUCGACAUCCAUCAUGUGUCUAUAGAAGUCCACCCUCCUGCUCACCCAUCAACAUGCCAACAGACAGCCGCGCAAUCUGUGGAUGCCACUUCCUUUGAUAUGGGAAUUUCCUGCCCGUCCUUUCCAAAAUGAGAGGUAAUGAAGGAUGGGACUUUGGGCUCCGAGGCCACGACCCUUGUAAUCCCACAGCAAGGCUCCUUGGGAUAUGUAGGCGCCUCCGGACUCAGGGACACCGGGGGGUCUCCCUCAUCGGGAACGAUGGCAAGUGAGUGUGUGAAAGAAAAAGAGCAAAAAAAAAAAGGGG